Molecule: ribosomal RNA, 1450 nt
Filed under: uncultured Bordetella sp.
Lineage: Bacteria; Pseudomonadati; Pseudomonadota; Betaproteobacteria; Burkholderiales; Alcaligenaceae
Description: partial 16S-23S ribosomal RNA intergenic spacer
Rfam family: Bacterial small subunit ribosomal RNA
Source: RNAcentral
GUUCCUGGGAGAUCGCAGUGGUGAUGGUUCGAUCGUCAGAUUGAACGCUGGCGGAGCCGUUUACAUGCAAGUCGAAACGGCAGCACGGACUUCGGUCUCCAGGGCGCAGGCAUCCGUGAGAGCGUAUCGAACGCUCAGUAGCGGGGGAUAACUACGCGAAAGCGUAGCUAAUACCAUAAUGCCCUUCGGGGGAAAGCGGGGACCUUCGGGCCUCGCAAUUAUUAGAGCGGCUGAUAUCGGAUUAGCUAGUUGUGGCAACGGCUCACCAAGGCGACGACUGUAGCAGCUGAGGACGACCAGCCACACUGGGACUGGAGACACGGCCCAGACUCCUACGGAGGCAGCAGUGGGGAACUUCAGACAAUGGGGAAACCCUGAUCCAGUCAUCCUUAAGUGUGUGAUGAAGGCCUUCGGGUUGUAAAGCACUUUUGGCAGGAAAGAAACGGCACGGGGAUAAUACCCCGCAACGACGGUACCCGCAGAAUAAGCACCGGCUAACCACGCCAGCAGCCGCGGCAAUACGUAGGUGGCAAUCGGAAUUGGGCGUAAGCGUGCGCAGGCGGUUCGGAAAGAAAGAUGUGAAAUCCCAGAGCUUACUUUGAACUGGUAUUUAACUACCGAGCUAGAGUGUGUCAGAGGGAGGUGGAAUUUUGAGAAUGUAGAUAUGGAGGAACACCGAUGGCGAAGGCAGCCUCCAGAUAACACUGACGUCGCUAUAUCGAAGUGGGGAGCAAACAGGACAGAUACUCCCAAAGGGUCCACGCCCUAAACGAUGUCAACUAGCUGUUGGGGCCUUGGCCCGUAGCGGUGAAGCCAAUGCGUGAAGUUGACCGCCCAGAGCAUGGCCGCAAGAUUAAAACUCAAAGGAAUUGACGGGGACCCGCACAAGCGGUGGAUGAUGUGGUGGAUUAAUUCGAUGCAACGCGAAAACCCACUACCCUUGACAGGUUCAAUCCCGAAGAGAUUUGGGAGUGCUCGCAGGAACCGGAACACAGGUGCUGGGUAUGGCUGUCGUCAGCUCGUGUCGUGAGAUGUUGGGUUGGGUCCUGCAACGAGCGCAAAACUCGCCAAUAGUUGCUGGGCCGAAAGGGCACUCUAAUGAGACUGCCGGUGACAAACCGAGAAGGUGGUGACGUCAAGUCCUCAUGGCCCUUAUAGGUAGGGCUUCACACGUCAUACAAUUACCGGGACAGAGGGUCGCCAACCCGCGAGGGGGAGCCAUCCCAGAAACCCGAUCGUAGUCCGGAUCGGCAGUCUGCAACUCGACUGCGUGAAGUCGGAAUCGCUAGUAACGCGGAUCAGCAUGUCAGUGGCAGCCGUUCUCGGGUCUUGCACACAUUACCCCGCCCGUCACACCAUGGGAGUGGGCUUUACCAGAAGUAGUUAGCCUAACCGUAAAGAGGGCGACACACUGGUAGAUACGGACUGGGGUGAAGUCGUAACAAGGCAA